ACUCACAUAGCUCAAUUGGUCAGAGCAGAAAUUUUAUACAUUCAAGGUUAGGGGUUCAAGUCCCUUUGUGAGUA
RNAcentral lists this transfer RNA (74 nucleotides) under Crassvirales sp. RNAcentral describes it as "tRNA-Ile". It matches the Rfam family "tRNA". From Rfam's summary of the family: Transfer RNA (tRNA) molecules are approximately 80 nucleotides in length. Their secondary structure includes four short double-helical elements and three loops (D, anti-codon, and T loops). Further hydrogen bonds mediate the characteristic L-shaped molecular structure. tRNAs have two regions of fundamental functional importance: the anti-codon, which is responsible for specific mRNA codon recognition, and the 3' end, to which the tRNAs corresponding amino acid is attached (by aminoacyl-tRNA synthetases). tRNAs cope with the degeneracy of the genetic code in two manners: having more than one tRNA (with a specific anti-codon) for a particular amino acid; and 'wobble' base-pairing, i.e. permitting non-standard base-pairing at the 3rd anti-codon position. Lineage: Duplodnaviria; Heunggongvirae; Uroviricota; Caudoviricetes; Crassvirales. The record is from RNAcentral.